RNAcentral lists this ribosomal RNA (867 nucleotides) under Triticum aestivum (bread wheat). Its description in RNAcentral is "partial small subunit ribosomal RNA". The record is from RNAcentral. Lineage: Eukaryota; Viridiplantae; Streptophyta; Magnoliopsida; Poales; Poaceae.
AUGGCGGACCGGCUGGCGGUUGGGUUGGCGAAGUCGGUGGUGGUAGGGGCGGCCACCAAGAUCCAGUCGGCCAUCGACGAGGACGCCAGGCUCCGGCAAAAGGUGAAGCGUGACCUUGUGUUCAUCUAUAUGGAGUUCGAGAUGAUGCAGUCCUUCCUGGACGAUGCCAAUGAGGAGGAGAUGAACAAUAAUUUGGUGAGGACAUGGGUGAAGCAUAUAAAGGAACUGGCCUAUGAUGUCGAAGACUGCGUUGAAAAUGUUGUUCAUCUGGACGACAAGCCAAUCUUCUGGCGCAGGCUGCUCCCGUCCUGGUUGGCACCCCCUCUGCCACUGGACUUGGCGGUUGAGGAGAUAGAGCAUCUCAAGGGCAGGGUCGAGGACGUCAACAACUGCUACCGGCGCUACAACUAAAUCAACGACUCUGCAUCCAAGCUCGUCAUGCAGCAGCAGCUGGCACCCGCCAUCGCCGUCUCCCGGAUCGCAUUUCAGAUGCUCGAGGAGGCAAGGGGUGCCACCAAGAAGCAGCGAGCCUUUGGGGGUCUCACCCGGCUGAUCAUCAGGAAGAAUCAUGGGAACAAUGGCCUCCAAGUGAUCUCGGUUUGGGGUGCCGCCUAAGACCCAACUGAAGAGUGUCACCGUCUUCUGAAAAAGGGUUGGUGUCUCAUUAUUAUCGAUGAUCUCAAGUCCACGAAGGAUUGGGACAUGAUAGAGGCUGCUUUGGUAUCCAAAUAUUUAAAUAGUGUUGUCAUUGUCAUCACAACUGAUCAAACCAUCGCAAAAUAUUGCACAAAUAAAGAAGAGCUUGUGUUAAAUGUCAAGGCUCUAGAAGCUAAUGCCGCCUUUGAUCUCUUCAAAAAACUAGUAUGA